Molecule: ribosomal RNA, 378 nt
Filed under: uncultured cyanobacterium
Lineage: Bacteria; Bacillati; Cyanobacteriota
Description: bacterial SSU rRNA
Rfam family: Bacterial small subunit ribosomal RNA
Source: RNAcentral
CGAAAGCCUGACGGAGCCAGACCGCGUGGGGGAGGAAGGCCCUUGGGUUGUAAACCCCUUUUCUCAGGGAAGAAACCUGACGGUACCUGAGGAAAAAGCCUCGGCUAACUCCGUGCCAGCAGCCGCGGUAAUACGGAGGAGGCAAGCGUUAUCCGGAAUUACUGGGCGUAAAGCGUUCGUAGGGGGCUCGUCAAGUCUGCUGUCAAAGACCGAGGCUCAACCUCGGGUCGGCAGUGGAAACUGGAUAGCUAGAGGUCGGUAGGGGCAAAGGGAAUUCCCGGUGUAGCGGUGAAAUGCGUAGAUAUCGGGAAGAACACCAGAGGCGAAAGCGUUCUGCUGGGCCGCGCCUGACCCUGAGGGACGAAAGCCAGGGGAGCG